CCUACGGGUGGCAGCAGUGGGGAAUAUUGCACAAUGGGGGGAACCCUGAUGCAGCAACGCCGCGUGGGUGAAGAAGUACUCCGGUAUGUAAAGCCCUGUCAGCAGGGAAGAAAAUGACGGUACCUGACCAAGAAGCCCCGGCUAACUACGAGCCAGAAGCCGCGGUAAUACGUAGGGGGCAAGCGUUAUCCGGAUUGACUGGGUGUAAAGGGCGCGUAGACGGCAAUGCAAGUCUGGAGGGAAAGCCCGUGGCCCAACCACGGGCCUGCUUUUGAAACUGUGUUGCUGGAGUGAAGGAGGGGUCAGCGGAUUUCCUCGUGUAGCGGUGAAAUGCUUAGAUAUUAGGCGGAACCCCGGUGGCGACGGCGGCUUACUGGACUGUAACUGACGUUGAGGCUCGAAGGCGUGGGGAGCAAACAGGAUUAGAUACCCCGGUAGUC
RNAcentral lists this ribosomal RNA (440 nucleotides) under uncultured bacterium. Its description in RNAcentral is "partial 16S ribosomal RNA". It matches the Rfam family "Bacterial small subunit ribosomal RNA", at positions 338 to 795 of the family's 1533-position model. The record is from RNAcentral.